This 937-nucleotide ribosomal RNA is filed under the name uncultured bacterium. RNAcentral describes it as "bacterial SSU rRNA". It matches the Rfam family "Bacterial small subunit ribosomal RNA", at positions 461 to 1401 of the family's 1533-position model. The record is from RNAcentral.
GGAAGAUAAUGACGGUACCUCGAGAACAAGCCACGGCUAACUACGUGCCAGCAGCCGCGGUAAUACGUAGGUGGCGAGCGUUGUCCGGAUUUACUGGGUGUAAAGGGCGCGUAGGCGGGAGUGCAAGUCAGAUGUGAAAUACGGAGGCUUAACCUCCGAGCUGCAUUUGAAACUGCAAUUCUUGAGUGAUGGAGAGGUAAGCGGAAUUCCCAGUGUAGCGGUAAAAUGCGUAGAUAUUGGGAGGAACACCAGUGGCGAAGGCGGCUUACUGGACAUUAACUGACGCUGAGGCGCGAAAGUGUGGGGAGCAAACAGGAUUAGAUACCCUGGUAGUCCACACUGUAAACGAUGGAUACUAGGUGUGGGGGGACUGACCCCUUCCGUGCCGGAGUUAACACAAUAAGUAUCCCACCUGGGGAGUACGGUCGCAAGAUUAAAACUCAAAGGAAUUGACGGGGACCCGCACAAGCAGUGGAGUAUGUGGUUUAAUUCGACGAUACGCGAAAAACCUUACCAAGGCUUGACAUCCUACUAACGAAGUAGAGAUACAUCAGGUGCCCCUCGGGGAAAGUAGAGACAGGUGGCGCAUGGUUGUCGUCAGCUCGUGUCGUGAGAUGUUGGGUUAAGUCCCGCAACGAGCGCAACCCUUACGGUUAGUUGCUACGCAAGAGCACUCUAGCCGGACUGCCGUUGACAAAACGGAGGAAGGUGGGGACGACGUCAAAUCAUCAUGCCCUUUAUGUCUUGGGCUACACACGUACUACAAUGGCGAUCAACAAAGGGCAGCGAAACCGCGAGGUGGAGCAAAUCCCCAAAAGUCGCCCCAGUUCAGAUUGCAGGCUGCAACCCGCCUGCAUGAAGCCGGAAUUGCUAGUAAUCGUAGAUCAGCAUGCUACGGUGAAUACGUUCCCGGGUCUUGCACACACCGCCCGUCAAG